AGUGAACGCUGGCGGUAGGCCUAACACAUGCAAGUCGAACGGCAGCACAGCAAGAGCUUGCUCUUACGGGUGGCGAGUGGCGGACGGGUGAGGAAUACAUCGGAAUCUACUUUUUCGUGGGGGAUAACGUAGGGAAACUUACGCUAAUACCGCAUACGACCUACGGGUGAAAGCAGGGGAUCUUCGGACCUUGCGCGAUUGAAUGAGCCGAUGUCGGAUUAGCUAGUUGGCGGGGUAAAGGCCCACCAAGGUGACGAUCCGUAGCUGGUCUGAGAGGAUGAUCAGCCACACUGGAACUGAGACACGGUCCAGACUCCUACGGGAGGCAGCAGUGGGGAAUAUUGGACAAUGGGCGCAAGCCUGAUCCAGCCAUACCGCGUGGGUGAAGAAGGCCUUCGGGUUGUAAAGCCCUUUUGUUGGGAAAGAAAAGCAGCAGGUUAAUACCCCGCUGUUCUGACGGUACCCAAAGAAUAAGCACCGGCUAACUUCGUG
This 492-nucleotide ribosomal RNA is filed under the name uncultured bacterium. Its description in RNAcentral is "partial 16S ribosomal RNA". It matches the Rfam family "Bacterial small subunit ribosomal RNA", at positions 29 to 507 of the family's 1533-position model. The record is from RNAcentral.